Molecule: ribosomal RNA, 112 nt
Filed under: Acanthosepion pharaonis
Lineage: Eukaryota; Metazoa; Mollusca; Cephalopoda; Sepiida; Sepiidae
Source: RNAcentral
UAUGACCACAUCACGUUGAAAGGCCUAUUCUCGUACAAUCACCGAAGUUAAGCAACGUCGAGCCUUGUCAGUACUUAGAUGGGUGACCGCUUGGGAAUACCAGGAGCUGUAA